This 446-nucleotide ribosomal RNA is filed under the name uncultured bacterium. RNAcentral describes it as "partial 16S ribosomal RNA". It matches the Rfam family "Bacterial small subunit ribosomal RNA", at positions 338 to 795 of the family's 1533-position model. The record is from RNAcentral.
CCUACGGGUGGCAGCAGUCGAGAAUCAUUCACAAUGGGGGAAACCCUGAUGGUGCGACGCCGCGUGGGGGAAUGAAGGUCUUCGGAUUGUAAACCCCUGUCAUGUGGGAGCAAAUUAAAAAGAUAGUACCACAAGAGGAAGAGACGGCUAACUCUGUGCCAGCAGCCGCGGUACUACAGAGGUCUCAAGCGUUGUUCGGAAUCACUGGGCGUAAAGCGUGCGUAGGCUGUUUCGUAAGUCGUGUGUGAAAGGCGCGGGCUCAACCCGCGGACGGCACAUGAUACUGCGGGACUAGAGUAAUGGAGGGGGAACCGGAAUUCUCGGUGUAGCAGUGAAAUGCGUAGAUAUCGAGAGGAACACUCGUGGCGAAGGCGGGUUCCUGGACAUUAACUGACGCUGAGGCACGAAGGCCAGGGGAGCGAAAGGGAUUAGAUACCCCAGUAGUC